Molecule: ribosomal RNA, 515 nt
Filed under: uncultured bacterium
Lineage: Bacteria
Description: partial 16S ribosomal RNA
Rfam family: Bacterial small subunit ribosomal RNA
Source: RNAcentral
GAUGAACGCUGGCGGCGUGCCUAAUACAUGCAAGUCGAGCGCAUGGAUUAAGAGCUUGCUCUUAUGAAGUUAGCGGCGGACGGGUGAGUAACGCGUGGGUAACCUGCCCAUAAGACUGGGAUAACUCCGGGAAACCGGGGCUAAUACCGGAUGACAUUUUGAACCGCAUGGUUCGAAAUUGAAAGGCGGCUUCGGCUGUCACUUAUGGAUGGACCCGCGUCGCGUUAGCUAGUUGGUGAGGUAACGGCUCACCAAGGCAACGAUGCGUAGCCGACCUGGGAGGGUGAUCGGCCACACUGGGACUGAGACACGGCCCAGACUCCGACGGGAGGCAGCAGUAGGGAAUCUUCCGCAAUGGACGAAAGUCUGACGGAGCAACGCCGCGUGAGUGAUGAAGGCUUUCGGGUCGUAAAACUCUGUUGUUAGGGAAGAACAAGUGCUAGUUGAAUAAGCUGGCACCUUGACGGUACCUAACCAGAAAGCCACGGCUAACUACGUGCCAGCAGCCGCUGUAA